GGAGCUCUAUCGCAGCAAACUUCCUCGGGUCAUGGCUGUAGUUUUUGAAAGCCCAUGGCUCGAGGAUGUUGCCUGUGAUGCAACUCA
Molecule: microRNA precursor, 87 nt
Filed under: Drosophila persimilis
Lineage: Eukaryota; Metazoa; Arthropoda; Insecta; Diptera; Drosophilidae
Description: mir-2568 microRNA precursor family
Rfam family: mir-2568 microRNA precursor family
Source: Rfam by way of RNAcentral